RNAcentral lists this ribosomal RNA (403 nucleotides) under uncultured bacterium. Its description in RNAcentral is "partial 16S ribosomal RNA". It matches the Rfam family "Bacterial small subunit ribosomal RNA", at positions 28 to 526 of the family's 1533-position model. The record is from RNAcentral.
GACGAACGCUGGCGGCGUGCCUAAUACAUGCAAGUCGAACGCAGUGGGGACGGGUGAGUAACACGUGGGUAACCUCCCAUCAGAGGGGAUAACACUUGGAAACAGGUGCUAAACCGAUACUGAUGGAUGGACCCGCGGUGCAUCAGCUAGUUGGUGAGGUAACGGCUCACCAAGGCCACGAGGCAUAGCCGACCUGAGAGGGUGAUCGGCCACCAUGGGGCUGAGACACGGCCCAGAAUCCUACGGGAGGCAGCAGUAGGGAAUCUUCGGCAAUGGACGAAAGUCUGACCGAGCAACGCCGCGUGAGUGAAGAGGGUUUGCGGAUCGGAAAGCGCUGUUGUUAGAGAAGCGGUAUCUAACCAGAGAGCCACGGCUAACGACGUGCCAGCCGCCGCGGUAAUAG